Molecule: long non-coding RNA, 1729 nt
Organism: Protopterus annectens (West African lungfish)
Lineage: Eukaryota; Metazoa; Chordata; Ceratodontiformes; Protopteridae
Exons: 2
Source: RefSeq, a predicted model, not a curated record
UUGCUUUACAGACACCUAUGAUGUGAUUGAACCAUUUCUAGAAGAAUUUCCAAAUCUUUAUGUGGGUUUCACUGCAGUUUUGACAUACCCAUCAGCUUCUUCUGCAAGAGAAGCUGCAAAAAAGAUACCACUGGAAAGACUGAUUGUAGAGACAGAUGCUCCAUACUUCCUUCCCAGACAGGUUCCAAAAAGUACUUGCCAGUUUUCUCAUCCCGGGCUAGCUUUGUACACAAUAAAAGAAAUUGCCAGACUGAAAGCACUGAGUGUAUCUUCUGUUCUCGCUGUACUCAGACAAAAUACGCAUAGCAUAUAUGGAUUGUAGGAGUGAUAGGACUGCAACAUUAUACACUGGCAGAACACUUGCAUUGUUUUUAAUUUAUUGUUAUAUCAUAACCUCGUGUGAGAAUGAAAAUGCUCAGCUCUGUAGAGCAACCCUUUUGGCUUUUCAGUAGAAAGAAUUAUGGUAUGCUAUCACAGCUGCAAACCACUUAACGAACUCUAGACUGCAGAGCUUGAAAUGAGCAGUGUUGCACUGCUUAUGACUGGACUUGCUUUUGAAUAUGCUCUGCGAGUACUCCACUCUGGAAGUUUGUAUAUGGAAACCAUUGAAUACUGAUUGAAAUAUACCAUUUUUUUCACAGGAUUUUCAGUGCAUUCAGCUACCUCGAGCUCCUAUACAUAUCAGUCUGAAAUAUGAAAGUUUACUAACUGAAAUGUCUUGUUAACAUCUUCCCUUAAUAUAACAUCAGGAAACCAUAUUUGAAUAUAAAUUACCUUUUGAGACUGGUUUGUUUCAUUGUAAUGGAGCAUCCAAAAAGAUUAUUGCAUGCAGAGAAGUAAGAAUUUUCACCACAGCAGCAGCUGCAUAUACCAUGCCACCUUUCUUGAACUGCUAAUUGUUGAGAGCCCACUGCAGAUACUUUUAAGUUAUUUCUGCAUCAUUCAGGGGAACUCAAAAUAUUGUAUACACAGCAAUGCUGACACUAGUCAUCCAGUUUGACUGCACCUUUAAGUCAAUGAGGUGAAUAGCUUUUUCGUGGGGUAUAGAAAUAGGAAAAUGUCCUUUUUAAUUGGUUAACUAUCAUGAGAAACUUGCUUUCACUGUUUUUUUAAGUUAGUUUUGAAUGUGUUCUUUAAAAUGCUUUUAUUUUCUGCUUUAUAGCUAUUGUUUCUAAGCUAAGUUCAGAUUUUUUUAAUGUGGCACAGAUUUUCAUUAUGUUUUUAAUAUGUUGAGUUGGUCUUUAAACAGAAUAAUGUGUGCAAGAAAUGGUGUACCAUUGGUUUAUGUGAGGAUAGAAUAGUAGAUGAGUAAAGUAACUUUUGUAAGAUAGGAGACUUUCUAUCCUUUUCAAAUUGUCCAUAAACAUUCCUUUUGCUGCGGAGAGGAAAGCCAACUCUGUUAUGUUCUGUUUCAUGUGUGCUUGUGUACUUUUUGUCACCACUUGCACCUCAGCAUUUUGCAAGAGGAGCAUAAUGUUAUAUGCAUACCAGAGUAGAAGAAUGCACUUUAGUUUAAAAUUUCAAAGUAAGUGCUGAUUUAGCGUGCAGAGUAGCAGUAGUGUCUGUGUUCACUGCAGUGGUGAGCCAUGUCCUGGUAAACUAUUUUGUAGUUACUUUGUAUUGUGCCAUAUUUUAAAAGUAAGAUGCAAUGAAAUUUUGAGAAGUUGCUGUACAGAAAGUUUGCGUCUCAUAUUAAUAAAACUGAAGUAAGGUUGCAUUGUUCCAUGUA